This 4280-nucleotide long non-coding RNA is filed under the name Stegodyphus dumicola. Its description in RNAcentral is "uncharacterized LOC118197590". The record is from RNAcentral. Lineage: Eukaryota; Metazoa; Arthropoda; Arachnida; Araneae; Eresidae.
UGUUGCAAAAGGCCAUUUGCGAGAAGUUCGUUCUGUUCUUACACGAAAAAGAUUCGCUUUAAGUAGAGACCAUGUAGGAGCCAGUCCUUUGCACUUGGCAGUACUACAUGGACAUACAGACGUUUCUACAUAUAUUAUUUCCCAUUUUCCAGAGACAAUGGACGGUCCCGAUAACGAAGGAAGAACACCACUCCAUUACGCGACUGCUCUUCCAGACAAUGGAGCACUUUAUAAGUUAUUAAAAUCUGCAGGCGCUGAUGAAAAUAUAGAAGACAAGGCUGGACAUAGUCCCAAGUAUUAUAUGACUCAUCCAGCGACUCUAACUUUAGCCCAACUUAUGGAACCCUAUGUUACGCAUGAAUAGGGAUUAUCCAAAGUAAAUCUCCUGGAAUAAAAUUUACUGUCUUCUAAACAAUUCUGUCCUUGAGAUAAUUAAGGAUAGUUUUGGAUAAACAGCUGUCUAUAGAGAAAGAAAUUUCCAUUACAAGCAGAAUACCCUUUACUGAAGAAAUGGGGAUGUGGAAGUUUUAUUUUUCAAUGGAUAUGAAGAAAAUAUUUGCUUUAAGAGGUUCAGAAAGCAAAUACCUAUAUUUCUUCUAACUUUGAUAGAAGUAAAAUGUUCUAUUCAGAGAUAUAAUGUGUUAUAAAUCAAGGCAAUAGUCAAAGUUUCAGACUCAACGUACAUAACAAAGUAGAUAUUGUAUAAAGUAAAAACGUUCCUUUAUCUCCGUGUUAAGCGGAAUUCACAGUUUUUUUUAUCAGAUUUGUGUAAAUACUGUUGGGUAGCCUUUACUAUUAAUGAAGACUCGUGACUGUUUUCAUAGAGAGAUAUAAUAGUAAUGUUUCUAAUAAGUUUAGCUUUCUAUCAUAAGCUUUAAUAUUGUGUAUAAAAGACAUUUCAAAUUUCAGCUUUAAUAUUUCACCAAAAGUAGAAUUUCAAAUUAUAUUGUGGUAUAUAUAUAUAUAUAUAUAUAUUAUAAGCCUGUCAUUUUUCUUAGUCCAAAGCUGAACAACUGAUUAAAAGAAAUAUGGAUAUUAUAUAUUUUUGCGAAAUGCAGUGGUGAUACGCUUUCGAUAGUGGUAAAAGCUAAAUAAUGGCAAAAUUGUGAUUACUUAUGGCAGCUAAAACAUAAAAAGCGCAAUGCUAUUAAAUUUUCAUUACGUUGCUGAUUGUUCAUGAAUAUGUAAAAAGGUAUCCAAAGCAAUAAAUCCUCGUUAUGCAACGAAUAUCUGCACUCUCUUAAAAUUUUUCUUCUACGCUUACAUGAAUUCAUAUACUGACUAGGAUAUUUAUCUUGAUAAUCUAUAUAUAGAAAUUUAUUGUUAGAUUUUAUAAUCUUAUUCUUUAAAACAUAUAUUGUUCAUCAAAUUUUAAAAGUUAAUUUAAUAAAAAUAUUUUAAUCUUUUAGUUCAAACUUUUAUACUACCAUGGUAAACACUUAGUCUAAUGUAAUUUUUUUUUAAGAACAAAGCCAGGUACAGCUAAUAUUCUCAUCAGAAUAGAAGAUAAAGAGGAACAUUCUUUUUAUUUUAUUUACUUGAGAACAGAAGAGUUUUAUUGACUUUCAUUUUUGAACUUAAUAAGAUUUACAACUAUUAAUUGUUAUGAUUCCAGACUGGCUGAAAAUUUUCUUCAGUAUGUAGUUUCAAAAUAAGAUUUUUCUUCAAGAUAGAAGUCAUAAAACUGUACAUUUCUUUGAAAUAAAUGAGAACUAAGGACAACUUAAAUAAAAUGAUAGUUCAAAUUCUGUGCAGAGAAAAUUGAAAAAUACUAGAAAAAUUUAUGUUUAAAAAUCCUAUCUACUAAUAGAUUUCGUAGGGGGAUUUUUAAAACAUAUAUGUUCCCAAAUCCAAAUUAGAUGUGUAUAAAACACAUUCACAUCAUGAAUACUAAAAUAUCCUUAAAAUAGCAGGUGUAGAUAUUAUAUCCUAAAGAAAAUAUCAUAAAAUAUAUAAUGCUUUUAUGGAGAGGGAAAUUAUAAAUAAACGCUUAAGACCACUAUUACUGUAGCUCAAUAUGUUUGUUCUUAUAAAGAGUAUUAGCUUCAUAUGAGUUGCGUUUCUCUUUUUCUGGAUUACAUAUUUCAUCUGUUUUGCUUGAUAUUUCAUUUUAAAUGUAUUUUAUGUAUGUUUAGGGAAAUAUCUAUGUAAAACGUAUGUGAAAUAUUCAUGUUAAUAUAUUUUAAUGUUUUUUUAUAUGUUACAAGGUUUAUGUUUUUGUUAAAAUCAGCCCUAAAUUUGUUUGCGUAGUACAAAAUGUUAUUCUGAAAGUAUUUUCUAGUGUUAAUUGACUGAAAGAAGGAAAGGCAUUUAAUUUAAAGGCGUCACAGUAUGAAUUUCUGCAAAAAGAAGUGGAAAUUCCGUGUUCGUAAAAUGAUGUAUUAAACUAACUGAAGAGUAAGAUAACAUUUAUAUUGCAGGUAUCUUUCUUAUAAGAUCUGGAAAUCCAUACGAACAACUUAUGAAUCUUUAAAAACAAUAAAACUUCCAAAGUUAUCUGCGUCUUACUUUCAUUUUGCUAGCCUUCAAAAAUCUGAGAUCCAAAAUAAAACAUUGAACUCCAUGGAAGGAUAAGAAUGCUUAAUAUUAGGAUUCAUGACUUCAAAAAAGAUUGAAAAUACAACGAAAGAUACGACAUCUCUGAGAACAAAACUAAUUAUUCGCCUCUAGAAUUAAUGAGGUGAUGAAGAGAUAUUGUAAAAUAUAUUUGGUUCAUAUAAGUAAAAAAAUCCACCAAAUUAAACGCUAAGGAUAAAUACUAAUUUUUAAACAGUUCCAGUGUUCUAAGAUGCUGAGGAAUUUAUAUUUUAAAGCAAGAAACUUCCCUUAAAAAAUCAAAAGUUGGAUUUUAAUACAUUACUUCAACUGACAGAAUUAUUAGAGGUAGUACAUUUUAUUUAAAUAAAUUUGCUUUAAAAUGAAGGCAGCACAUUUUACAUAAAUUGUUUUAAUUGUAAACAUCCACUGUGGAAAUUGUUCUGCAUGCUUUUUUACCCUUCCUGCAUUUAAUUUGAAUAACUUUCUGUAUAAACACUAAUCGUGAUCGUGAGACUGCUUCGUUGAAAGACUGCAUCAAGUAAUGAAAACCGAACGAAAUAUAACAUGGUGUCAAAUAUUUUCUGACAUUUACAUUUAAAAGAGUAAUUUUUUAAAAGAAGAUUUCACAGAAUCAUUUCAUUUUCUAAUAACUGUAUAACGAGGGUUUAUUGUACUUACCUACGCAAGAAGAGUUAUUUGUUUUUGAGAAUGCUUAAUUUUAAAUAAAUAAUACGAUACGAAAUAUCACAGGUGUAUUUUUUCAGCAGCAAAACAUUUACCCCGAAGCUGCAAAAAUAUGCAGAAUCAAUUGUGUGCCAAAAAAAGCACGAAUUAGCACUAGAAUUUAAAUUUCUAAAAGUAUCGGGCACAUUUGUAAUAUGUAUGAAUUGUGAUAUUAAUUGAAAUGUGUGAUUAUUGUGUAGUUGUAUCACCAGUUUAAAAUUAUACAUUAGAUUUCAUCAUUCAUUUAAGAACUUCAUUUGAGAAAAAAUUUCAAAAAUAUUGAUUUAUAUGCAUUAUCAAAAUGAAUUAAGAUCACACAGUGUAUAUUAUUGUAGUACAUUUAAUGUAAUUUGUCCAAUCGAAACUUUUGGGUAAUUUGUUUCAAAAUUAAUGAUACAAUUUAUAAUUUUUAUAUGGUACUUAAAUUUGUUCAAAAUACAAUGCAGUUAUUCAUAAAAUUUGUAGUAUAACAAUAGAGGACAAAGGCAUGUUUGCAGACUUUGAAAGUAAACUGCUGACUGAGAUAUGGAUCAUGGAAAUCAUGGAAACUCAAUUAUGAUAUCAGUUAAAAGAUAGCAAGGCAGAGAAAGCCUAUUGGUUAUCGUUUAUGAGGUCAAUUUUUAUCAACUUAUAUUAAUUACAUAUUAAUUAAUGUAACCAUUUGGCCAAUAUUGCCAAACAAAUGUAAUGACAGGCUAUAUCUUGUCCCAGGCUGUUAUUGAUAUUGAUCUAUUUCCUAUAAUAUCUAAAGUCAGCAAUUUACUUUUGUGUUUUACAUGCGCGUAUUACUUAACAUUAUUUUGUUUUAUAAUUUUAUUGUGCAUAAUGAUUCCUUAAUUUGCUUGUUGUUAAUCUUUGUGAUUCGUGGUUGUUUUUAUAGUCAUAUAUGUUCCUUUAUAUUGUACUAUGUUCUCUUAUACAUUAUAUAUAACUAGUACUACAAUAGGAAAAUAAAUUUAUUGGUACCCAAAAUCUAUUAUGUAGUAUUAUUUGCUUUUUCCUGGAAAUAUGCUAUAAUG